RNAcentral lists this unclassified non-coding RNA (461 nucleotides) under Mycobacteroides abscessus. RNAcentral describes it as "contains 16S-23S intergenic spacer region". The stretch from base 1 to 65 matches the Rfam family "Bacterial small subunit ribosomal RNA", at positions 1469 to 1533 of the family's 1533-position model. Lineage: Bacteria; Bacillati; Actinomycetota; Actinomycetes; Mycobacteriales; Mycobacteriaceae. The record is from RNAcentral.
CGGCGAUUGGGACGAAGUCGUAACAAGGUAGCCGUACCGGAAGGUGCGGCUGGAUCACCUCCUUUCUAAGGAGCACCAUUUCCCAGUCGAAUGAACUAGGGAACAUAAAGUAGGCAUCUGUAGUGGAUAUCUACUUGGUGAAUAUGUUUUGUAAAUCCUGUCCACCCCGUGGAUGGGUAGUCGGCAAAACGUCGGACUGUCAUAAGAAUUGAAACGCUGGCACACUGUUGGGUCCUGAGGCAACACGUUGUGUUGUCACCCUGCUUGGUGGUGGGGUGUGGACUUUGACUUCUGAAUAGUGGUUGCGAGCAUCUAAACAUAGCCUCGCUCGUUUUCGAGUGGGGCUGGUUUUUGCAAUUUUAUUAGCUAAGUUCUUAAGGGCGCAUGGUGAAUGCCUUGGCACUAGAAGCCGAAGAAGGACGUAGGAGGCUGCGAUAAGCCUCGGGGAGCUGCCAACCGAG